This is a long non-coding RNA of Cottoperca gobio, 961 nucleotides long. RefSeq lists it as uncharacterized. Lineage: Eukaryota; Metazoa; Chordata; Actinopteri; Perciformes; Bovichtidae. The record is from RefSeq and is a predicted model, not a curated record. The transcript is spliced from 4 exons.
UAUAAUAUCCUUUUUUUUAAAUGGAUCUGAUUGCAUUGAUUUCCUUGUGAGGCCGUUUCUUAGUAAUGCGUAUAUGCUUGUGACCGUGUGAGGUGCUGCACAGAAAGCAUUGUACUCUGCUCUCUCGGGAUGGGAGAAUGUUUUGUUUUUUGAGCUCUUUCACACCAGCUCUCCCUCUCCUUUUUUUUUUUUUUUUUUCAUUUUUUAACACAAUAGCCCUCUCUCCUCUCACCCAGCGUGGCAACCCUUUCAAACGGGAAGCUCCAGGUCAGUUUCCCUUGCCAAGUUUUGCAGCCUGCCAUGUUGUCUAUUCUGCUCAGCUAUUUAAAAAAUGUUGAAUAUCAACAAUGGCUUUCACUGGUGCAUUGUCAACUUUUGUAUGAAGCAAUCUUGGCUGAAUGAGAUGGGUCCCAGAGCAGGGAGAGCUCAGCUGCAGUGUGCACUACCACACCAGUGACUGCCCGGCUCUCUUGCUCUUUAUAUAUUUCUCUGCUGCAGGGAGCUGCCAUGGUUGUGGUGCUGCCGUGUGAAUGUGGUUGGAGUCUGGGGUGAGUCUCUGGGCUGUGGAUGUCACCGCUAUCUUCCAGGCCAUGGUCCUGCUCCUGGCCCUGCUGACAGCCAGCUGUUGAAGGUGUGUCUUACAGAGGGAUUGGGAAGCAGCAGCAGCAGCAGCAGCAGCUUUGGGACCAGUCAGACCUUGGAGGAGGGAGAUGGCUGGUCAGGACUCGCUGGUGCCAGAGGUCCACCUGCAGUAGCUGACGACUCCACUGACAGCCCAGCAGGGGACAGCGAGGGUGAUGGUCUUCACACCUCUCUGGAAUAAUUAGAAGGCUUGUGAGUUCAGAUGUCCUCAUGCUCUGGAGUGGCCUGUUAUUCCUGUCCCUGAGGGUGUGUUCCCAGCACAGCGGCUCCUGUAACAUAGGCAGGUGGAAACAUGGAGGCACAGACAGCACUUGGAUCC